GAUGAACGCUGACAGAAUGCUUAACACAUGCAAGUCAACUUGAACUUCGGUUUGGGUGGCGGACUGGUGAGUAACGCGUAAAGAACUUGCCUCACAGAUAGGGACAACAUUUGGAAACGAAUGCUAAUACCUGAUAUUAUGAUUAUAUGGCAUCGUAUAAUUAUGAAAGCUAUAUGCGCUGUGAGAGAGCUUUGCGUCCCAUUAGCUAGUUGGAGAGGUAACGGCUCACCAAGGCGAUGAUGGGUAGCCGGCCUGAGAGGGUGAUCGGCCACAAGGGGACUGGGACACGGCCCUUACGCAUACGGGAGGCAGCGGUGAAAAAUAUAGGAAGACAGGCCAAGAGUGUGAACAAGCAAUUCUGAGUGUAAGAUGAAGUUUUUCGGGAUGAAAAGUGCUUUCAGUUGGGAAGAAAAAAAUGACGGUACCAACAGAAGAAGCGACGGCUAAAUACGUG
This 454-nucleotide ribosomal RNA is filed under the name uncultured bacterium. RNAcentral describes it as "partial 16S ribosomal RNA". It matches the Rfam family "Bacterial small subunit ribosomal RNA", at positions 28 to 507 of the family's 1533-position model. The record is from RNAcentral.